CAAUAGCGUAUAUUUAAGUUGCUGCAGUUAAAAAGCUCGUAGUUGGAUUUCGGGUGGGAAUGGCCGGUCCGCCGUUUCGGUGUGCACUUGCUACGCCCACCUUGCUGCCGGGGACGUGCUCUUGAGUUCACGCUCGGGACACGGAGUCGGCGAGGUUACUUUGAGUAAAUUAGAGUGUUCAAAGCAGGCCUACGCUCUGAAUACAUUAGCAUGGAAUAACACGAUAGGACUCUGGCCUAUCUUGUUGGUCUGUAGGACCGGAGUAAUGAUUAAGAGGGACAGUCGGGGGCAUUCGUAUUUCCUUGUCAGAGGUGAAAUUCUUGGAUUUAUGAAAGACGAACUACUGCGAAAGCAUUUGCCAAGGAUGUUUUCAUUAA
RNAcentral lists this ribosomal RNA (377 nucleotides) under uncultured eukaryote. Its description in RNAcentral is "partial 18S ribosomal RNA". It matches the Rfam family "Eukaryotic small subunit ribosomal RNA", at positions 592 to 976 of the family's 1831-position model. The record is from RNAcentral.